GAAAAUGGAACAAGGGGACUCUAACUUGACUCAUCUUUGUCCUGGGCAGACUGCUUCUGUUCUUCCAUCUAUUGGAGUUUGUGUUGUGGACUCUAAGUGUUGUGAACUCUGUAGAAAAAAUGCUCAUUUUACAGAGACAGUUUUGCACUCGUGGGAAAGAAUCUGGUGCUGUGUGAAAGGUGGGGAAAGCAGAAAAACAAGCCGUUGUGAAGUCAUGUUUUCAUCUUCCAAAUUUCUUGUUCCUAAUGAUCGUGGACUCCAAGGAAAAAUGGGGGAUGUUCUAAGAGAAAUGUUAGAGUUCUGA
This 304-nucleotide long non-coding RNA is filed under the name Coturnix japonica (Japanese quail). Its description in RNAcentral is "lncRNA (ENSCJPG00005012671.1)". Lineage: Eukaryota; Metazoa; Chordata; Aves; Galliformes; Phasianidae. The record is from RNAcentral.